ACACUCCUGCGGGAGGCAGCAGUGGGGAAUAUUGGACAAUGGGCGCAAGCCUGAUCCAGCCAUGCCGCGUGAGUGAUGAAGGCCCUAGGGUUGUAAAGCUCUUUCACCGGUGAAGAUAAUGACGGUAACCGGAGAAGAAGCCCCGGCUAACUUCGUGCCAGCAGCCGCGGUAAUACGAAGGGGGCUAGCGUUGUUCGGAUUUACUGGGCGUAAAGCGCACGUAGGCGGACUAUUAAGUCAGGGGUGAAAUCCCGGGGCUCAACCCCGGAACUGCCUUUGAUACUGGUAGUCUUGAGUGCGGGAGAGGUGAGUGGAAUUCCGAGUGUAGAGGUGAAAUUCGUAGAUAUUCGGAGGAACACCAGUGGCGAAGGCGGCUCACUGGCUCGAUACUGACGCUGAGGUGCGAAAGCGUGGGGAGCAAACAGGAUUAGAAACCCGAGUAGUCCCA
This 448-nucleotide ribosomal RNA is filed under the name uncultured organism. RNAcentral's name for it is "partial 16S ribosomal RNA". It matches the Rfam family "Bacterial small subunit ribosomal RNA", at positions 333 to 797 of the family's 1533-position model. The record is from RNAcentral.